CCGAGCUGCUGUUGUGCUCCAUGUCUGAAAGAUGUUUUCUUUUUUCGUUCUUUGCUCUAGUUACGAGGAUCCUGACAAGUGCCUGCUUCUCUAUGGUGAUGAUCAGGUAUGAAACAACAAUAAAAUGCCAUUAUUAUCUUUGGAGAGACAAGAUGGAAUCCAUUAAAUAAGAAGAUGCCAGUACAGAGGAAAAUCCAGAGGGGAAAAAAGAAUUCUUAGAAAUUAAAAUUGUGAUUUUAAAUACUUAAUAAAAUGGUUGGAAGAUAAUAUUUUCCCAGGAAGCAGAACAACAACAACAACAAUAAAAAAACAGAAAAAAGUGAAAUAAAGAGAAAAGAUUAACAAAAACCAUACAACCAGUCUGGGAAGUACAAUAUUCAAAUACUAUGCACACAAAAAGAGAAAGAGAGGGAAGAAAAUAAUCCAAUAGUUUAAGAACAUUUUCCAAAACAUUGAGAGCAAAGAGAAGAUUUUAGAAGUGUCCAGAGGAGACAAGUCAGCUCACCAUGCAGAGGAUCAGGACUCAGUAAUGGAUUUGAACUUCACCACAGCAGAUCUGGAAGCUAGAAAGCAAAGCAGCAGUUCCUUCAGAAAUGGAAGGAAAAUUGUCUCCAGUGUGGCAUUCUAUAUCCUGGUAAACUAUUACUGAAAUUUGAGGGUAGAAUAAAGUCAUCUGCAAAGAUGUAAAGUUUCAAAAAGUACUUCCCAUAUAGGUAUCCUUCUCAGGAAACCAAUGAAGGAUUUUCUCUGUAAAGUGAAGGGGAAAACUGAAAAGAAGACGUGGGAUAGGAAAACAGGAGAUGCAAUGAAGCAGAAUAGCAAAUAGCAUCCUCAGGAUGAUGGGGGAGGAAGGACCUGAAGGGCAGCAGAGUACAUCACCCCAAAUAUGCCUUUUUGCCAUAAGGAUUAUUUCAGGCUGAUUAUUUUUAAGAAACAGCAGGCACAGGAGGAGCUCUGAAAGCCAAGUAGAAGUUACCUUUUUGUAAGAGCAUUUUACAUUUAUAAGGGGAAUCUCCAUGUGUAGGGGUGUCUUCCUGGCAUGCUGCAGUCCAUGGGGUUGCAAGAGUCAGACAUGACUUAGUGACCAGACAACAACAACC
RNAcentral lists this long non-coding RNA (1100 nucleotides) under Bos grunniens (domestic yak). Its description in RNAcentral is "lncRNA (ENSBGRG00000007572.1)". Lineage: Eukaryota; Metazoa; Chordata; Mammalia; Artiodactyla; Bovidae. The record is from RNAcentral.